This 253-nucleotide ribosomal RNA is filed under the name uncultured bacterium. Its description in RNAcentral is "partial 16S ribosomal RNA". It matches the Rfam family "Bacterial small subunit ribosomal RNA", at positions 524 to 776 of the family's 1533-position model. The record is from RNAcentral.
UACGAAGGGGGCUAGCGUUGCUCGGAAUUACUGGGCGUAAAGCGCACGUAGGCGGACUAUUAAGUCAGGGGUGAAAUCCCGGGGCUCAACCCCGGAACUGCCUUUGAUACUGGUAGUCUCGAGUCCGGAAGAGGUGAGUGGAAUUCCGAGUGUAGAGGUGAAAUUCGUAGAUAUUCGGAGGAACACCAGUGGCGAAGGCGGCUCACUGGUCCGGUACUGACGCUGAGGUGCGAAAGCCAGGGGAGCAAACGGG